This 484-nucleotide ribosomal RNA is filed under the name uncultured bacterium. Its description in RNAcentral is "partial 16S ribosomal RNA". It matches the Rfam family "Bacterial small subunit ribosomal RNA", at positions 30 to 507 of the family's 1533-position model. The record is from RNAcentral.
AUUGAACGCUAGCGGCAGGCCUAACACAUGCAAGUCGAGCGGAUGAAGGGAGCUUGCUCCUGGAUUCAGCGGCGGACGGGUGAGUAAUGCCUAGGAAUCUGCCUGGUAGUGGGGGAUAAUGUCCGGAAACGGGCGCUAAUACCGCAUACGUCCUGAGGGAGAAAGUGGGGGAUCUUCGGACCUCACGCUAUCAGAUGAGCCUAGGUCGGAUUAGCUAGUUGGUGGGGUAAAGGCCUACCAAGGCGACGAUCCGUAACUGGUCUGAGAGGAUGAUCAGUCACACUGGAACUGAGACACGGUCCAGACUCCUACGGGAGGCAGCAGUGGGGAAUAUUGGACAAUGGGCGAAAGCCUGAUCCAGCCAUGCCGCGUGUGUGAAGAAGGUCUUCGGAUUGUAAAGCACUUUAAGUUGGGAGGAAGGGCAGUAAGUUAAUACCUUGCUGUUUUGACGUUACCAACAGAAUAAGCACCGGCUAACUUCGUG